UGAUUGUCCCUGUCAGUUUAUAACUUUGU
This 29-nucleotide non-coding RNA is filed under the name Rattus norvegicus (Norway rat). The record is from RNAcentral. Lineage: Eukaryota; Metazoa; Chordata; Mammalia; Rodentia; Muridae.